Molecule: long non-coding RNA, 674 nt
Organism: Alnus glutinosa
Lineage: Eukaryota; Viridiplantae; Streptophyta; Magnoliopsida; Fagales; Betulaceae
Exons: 4
Source: RefSeq, a predicted model, not a curated record
CUCAAAUAAUGGAAAGGCCAAAUGGCCUUUCCAAAGCAGAGGCCGUGCGCCUCUGCUGUCUCAAAAGAAAAGAAGAAAAAAAAUGAAAAGAGGUCAUUUGACCCGAGAGAAAAAGAAAUAGGAAGGAGAUGAUUUUUCAUACAAAAAUUAUGAUCUAUGAAGAUCCAACCGUCCGAACUCAAAUCCGAUUUCAGUAACGUAAUCUACGAAGCCCGAUCUACGUUUCUACCGAUCGUUUUGAGGCUUUGUGUUAUUUGGAGAUUGCAAAGAUUUCCCAAAUACCGGGUAUUAUUUGGGUAAAUUUUUGGGAUAGUGUCCGGAUUGGAGUCUUUAAUGGGUUCUCCAAUGUAGAAUUCGAGUCAUGGUCCAAUGCAGCCAAGAUGAUGUUCUUUUGGCUGCAGGUAUUCCGGUCGUGGUUGAUAGCAUUGUAGAAGGGUAUUUUGGAUGUUAUGACUGAAGCACACCGCAACGGUCGUAAUUGGUGGACCACGGGUUGUCCACUUGUUUAUAGGUUUGGUUUAUGGCUUGUGACGUUUGUGUCACUUGUUAUUGUACAAAACCAUUUAUGUCACUUAUUUAAUUCGUGGAAAGAUUUAAUCAUAUAGAUAUUUAAUGGCUCUUUGUUGUAAUUAUUGGUGAUAGAUGUAUAAGAUGUGAUUUCCACUAUUAGGUUA